This is a long non-coding RNA of Uranotaenia lowii, 387 nucleotides long. RefSeq lists it as uncharacterized. The record is from RefSeq and is a predicted model, not a curated record. Lineage: Eukaryota; Metazoa; Arthropoda; Insecta; Diptera; Culicidae. The transcript has 2 exons.
UCUUUUAAGUUUCAACGGCCAUUUUGCCACAAGUUUUCUCAGCAGCAGCAUCGUGAUGGAGGUGACGGAAAAACCAAUUAAGUCUCUAGAGCAGCUGAAAGAUUCCUGCCUAUUUGCGUCCAUCAGGUGUGGACGAGUACGAGCCGUUAGGAUCUGUUCCGCUGAGUACCUGAAGCGCCAUGAAAAAAGCCAACAGCUUCCGGACGGGUGCGCCCUGCAGUUCGGAUAUCAGCAAUUACUCGCUAGCGGUGAUAAAAAUGUGCGGGUUAAAUGCAAAUGUGAUUUUUUUUAUUAAUUAACUCUAAAUUAUGAAAAAGUGUGAAAGAAAAUUAGGAUUGUUAAAAAAUAUUAAAUGAAAAUAAUAAAAAUUAGAGGCAAUAAAAUUCA